AAAACCAGGCUCUCGUCGUCAUUCCUCAGCUUUGGCUUGAUUCAGGGGCAAAUCCGCCUUGAAGGUUGGGGUGCUAUGUCACUUGCCAGCUUGGUAUUCUGUAAAGAUUGGAGAUGAAAUUAAAGAGAGGAGGAAUUUGGAAAGAACAAAAAGGGAAAUAGGGUUACGAAUUAGGAAAGAGGCGGAGAUUACUAAGGGAGCUGAAAUAAUAAAUGAACGGUGGAGAUUAAAAGAGAUCUGGGUUAAUCCAAGGGCUGAGAUUGAAGUCCAAUCCAACUAAAUAGUUAGUUGGGCCAGCCCAACUAAUAAGUUUUUGGCCGGUUAAUUCAUUCUCACAUUGGAGCUACAAACUUGAGAGACGUGCGCUAUAAUAGCUUGUUGUAUUUCCUUCUAGCUGAUUGUAAUAAGGAACUCUCGAUUGAAAUCAAUAAAGUUCAGU
Long non-coding RNA from Nicotiana attenuata, 439 nucleotides. RefSeq lists it as uncharacterized. NCBI's taxonomy places the organism in Eukaryota, Viridiplantae, Streptophyta, Magnoliopsida, Solanales, Solanaceae. The transcript is spliced from 3 exons. The record is from RefSeq and is a predicted model, not a curated record.